Long non-coding RNA from Sphaerodactylus townsendi, 294 nucleotides. RefSeq lists it as uncharacterized. The record is from RefSeq and is a predicted model, not a curated record. The transcript has 3 exons. Lineage: Eukaryota; Metazoa; Chordata; Lepidosauria; Squamata; Sphaerodactylidae.
AUCAUGUUGGGGGAAUUUCCUGAUAGCAGAAUUGAGCGGUGCUACUCAGAGUAGAACAAGUGGUCUUGUACAGCAAACCCCCACCUUCAUGAAGAAAAACUCCACACAGCUGUUUCAUUCAAAAGAAGGCUGUUACCAUUGAGUUGCUCUAUGUACAAGAAACUAUAUACAACUUAGAAUAAGCAGGAAUAUUAAGCAGUCCAACAAAGUGCUUCGCCAUGCACUUGUUUCCCUAAGGAACACAGACACAGUACAAUACAGUUGCUUAUAUACAUGGUUCAACCAAUCAUUGUA